AAUGCAAUAAUAUUCAGUUGACAUUCGUGGUUGACGCUGUUGUCGAUGCUUCAGCCAUGUGUUCGUGCUUUCGAUUUUAUGAAUAUGAGUGUUAUUUAAAUGCUGAAUUCUGGACAAUUUCGGUUUCGUGGUAAUUUGAAAUAUGCAUAACUGUAUAAUGUGGGGCAUGCUGAAGUGCGAUAUGAGAUCAUCGACCGUUCAAAGUAAUAAAAAUACAUACAAAUUGUACAUAUGUAAUAUAGGUAGUUGUACUUGAGUCUGAGUGACAGUUACAUGAAGAAGGCUUACGAUUUUCGUCUUUAUCUAAGCACACUUUGGGAAACGCUGAGGAUACAGUGAAUGAAUAGUUUGAAUGUCAGAUUGAUACCAGUGAUAUUAAUGAAGAUAUCCUUAGUUUAACGGGCAGUCUGACAGCAGCGUUCGAGCAGACCGAGUAAAGUCAAACAAAGUCAAAUUUGAGUUUCAGUUGAAUAAACGAAAUAAUCGACAAAGUGAUUAAUGGAAAUUGAUUGACAUACAUGUAGGAAAAUCGAGUUCUCACAGAGCCAAAUAUUUCGUUGAACUUGGAAAUAACGAAUAUAGAGAAAGUUUAAGGAAGCAUUCUGUAUAAACCCAUUUGUACUAGUACUGGGCUUUUACAUAAGGUAAUGGAGAAGAUGUUAUCGUCAAAAAUAUCGCUGCAUUUUUAAAGAGAAAUGUUGUUACGGUAGCUCAGAGUGUGGCUAUACCAUUCCCACAAUAGUCCACUCUAUGAAUACGGAACGGACUUGAAGCAGACCUGGAACUAAGGGGACGUAGCAAUAUUCUUUAAACUUAUUUUUGAAAAAUAGGACAAAUAAUGACUGAGGAAAAGUUGAUGUUAAAAAAAGGGAUUAAUUUUGGUGACCUUGGGCGAUCAGUGGACGUUUGGAGGCUAUAUAAAUCAAUAUUUGACAAAAUAAUAGAGUUUCUCUAUUCUAAGAGCUAGUACCAAAGUUUAUACAAUUGUCUAUGAGAUGACUUUGAUCAAAUCGAAACCCUCAUGAAAUUAUAUGCAUAGUUAAAAAGAAAGCUUUAAUGAUAGGGAAUUUUGAUUAAACAAAGACUUUGAAUUCCCAGAACGAUCUAUUUAUAAGAAAAAAAACUGCCAAUAAGAAAUUAAGUUAAUUCAGUUUGAAAAAAAAAAUAGUUUUAGGAAAUUAAACUGAGAAAUUAAGGUCGUUCUCAAGAAGGUCAUACAUGACCUCUUACUGGGAUAAGUUAGACUUUACAAUGUGCAAAUGUGGGUAAUAGUAGUAGAAGCUUCUUCUAAGAUAAUCAUUAAACAGUCAUCAAUUGAAGUAAUUUUUUUCUGAUCUUCAGUUACCUUCUACUACUCUACUUCGCCAGAAAAAGUUUUUUUUUCUAAGGAACUUCGAUUGGACUUCAAAGAUAACUUUCAGUAAGAAAAGAGGCGAAAAAAUUAUAUUAUGUUAAAGCGUUCGUCAUUUUGUGAUAAUUUGAUUGACUUUUGAGACAAUAUCGGUAAUCGGCAAAUGAUUUUGUAGUCAAAUAUAGUUAAAUUUGAUUUCAAAAUUUGAGAAAAAAUUUUGAAAAAAAUUGGCCGUUCACUUCUAAUUCUUACGUUAUACAGUUCUUCUAAAUAAAGGUUUAGAAAUGGGAGUAUAUGUAAGGCUCCUCGUCCUUACUCAUCUGUCUCAUACUACUUUUAGCUAUCUUAUGUCCUUUCAACCGUAAUGAAACUUGAAUCUCAUAAAAAAGUCUGUGCAUCAAAAGGGGUAAAAUGUAGUCUCAAUCGCCAACUUUGCCAACCGAUUAAAGCAUAACUUGAAUUUUUAACGACAAUGCACUAAUGGAAAUUGUAAGCGCCUUAAAAGUUCAAUAAAUAACGAAGAGCAUAGCAAGCACGUGUAGCGGAUAGUAUGAAAUUUCAGAAAUUAAAUUUUUAAGCUGUACGAAGGACAUACAAAAUGGGAGAAAAGCAAUUGCAAGUGGAAAAUAAUAAAAAGUCUAAAGUAGUUUCGCGCAGUUAAGAUGGAACAUUAGAGCUAAAACUAUGUAACUAAAACUAGUACAUAAACAGUCGGUAUGUAAAAGUAUUCGCAGUUGAUUAGUAAACUUGCAACCCACCAGGCAACCAGCCAGCCCUCCAAUAAAUCCAAUGUAUCGAAACAUGAAAGUUUUGUUGCGCAAAUCUCAUUUCCGCAAUUUGUGGGCGCUAGGAACGGCAAAAUAUUGUAACAGAGGCUAAGAUAUCGACAGACAGACGCUUAAAGUUUCCCGCCAACUGUGUGAAGCUGCGUCAAAGCGAAGUGCCGCGAAACAACGCUGUUGCACGGCCGUUAGUUAUGCUGAGUGGAUUGGAACAGGAGGUUGAGUUUGAUUGGAAUCACGGUAGCGUGCAUGACUAGUUGCUGCUCGGAUGUAAGCACGAAUAAGUGUAUAUAUUUCCCUGUUUGGCGCACAGCCAAAAUUCGAGCCGUCAAAACAGACAAAUAGUCAACUUGUACUCGCAUGUAGGAGAAUACAUCGUCACACUAUCACCCAGUCAACAAGUCAGCUGGGUCCAAGACGCAGCAGAUGAGACAAAUGAAUUGUGGUUGUGAGCUUGAGUGAAGGUUUUUUUGCGGGAGCUACAAGAAAAAAAAAGCAAAAAAUUACUUAUACAUGCAAACAAUCGCCGGGAUAGCUGACAGUUGGUGCGAAUGCCAGCUGGUGAUGCGAAGUAAUAAGAAGUGGAUAGCGCUCUACGAAUCUGAAUGGAGCUGGGUGGCAUUAUAAAAAUAUAUUAGCCUAUUUAAGUGAUAGGAAAGUCUAUGUACUCAGGAUGGACCCGGGUUUAUAUCCGGCCAAGGACGAUUAACUCUGUAGCACUCCUCAAAAUUAUGGUGUGACUAUCUCUGCAAGUCAAACGAGGAAAUCGUUGCAUUUGAUGAAAUUACACGAACUGCUGCUUCGUCGGAAUACACAAUCGAGCGUUAGGAGUUCAGCAAAGUAUUGCUAGCUGAGCGGGUGGACAAGCCUCACUUAGACUCAAUGCAGGUUAACUGUUGCGCUUGACGGGCGCAUGGAAGACUGGCUAUGUGUGGGGGUUCGAAGCUGUAACAAUUCGAUAGAAAAUUUUACAGAAAGUCAACACACGCGCACACAUUGAGGACAAGGCACAAACAAGCUGCCAGACAUUAAAAAUAAUGCUAAAAGCUGGCAAUAAAAGAAAGGAUAACCACGUGUGCACAAUAAAACGAACAUAAAAAGAGUAAAACGAAAAAUUUAAGAAAAUCGCAAAUGCAAGUAAAGAAACGAGAAGGUUCAAAGCGUGCCAACAACUUGAAUGUACAAUAAUAAAGAAAGUAAAUCUUGGAUCAGCAGUAAAAAUAUAUUGAGCGAGUUGGAAAAAUGCUUUGAAAAGUUCUCAAGAAUACUGAAGGCGACAUAGAAUGCGAAUGCGUGGGUAAAAAAUGCGUAAAUGGCGAAGGUCAAACCGGUAAACCGAAAAAUGUGCGUCAGUGAAAACAUUGUUGAAACAGAACAAGCUAUAUACGUACUAUUUACCAAUUAGAGGAGGUAUGUUUGUGAGGUGAGACUUUGGCUCUGCAAUACAUGUGUGAGCGUAGUAGCGUAGGUAAGCUAUUAGCCAUGCAACCAUAUUACUAAUGAUGGCGUUUAUGUGCCACAUCCGUUUCCGGCGAAUGCGCGUUCCGGUUGUUGCACAAACAUAUGCAUAGACGCGGUACGUUUAAUGCCAGAGCCAAAGGAAUUGUAAUGUGAAAGUCGGUGAAAGAGUAAGCGUGACGAGGGAAUAAAGACACAGGAAUUAAAUUGAUAUAAGGCAGUAGGCAAGACACCGAUGCGAAUUUAUCAAAGGAUGUGAUACUACAUUUUAUUUCCAAGGGGUUCGGUCAAACGAAAACCCUCAAAUACAUUUGAAAUUUUUUUCUGGAAGUAAAGAAACGGGAAUCUAAUGACUUUCUUUCAGGCUUUA
This is a non-coding RNA of Bactrocera oleae (olive fruit fly), 3961 nucleotides long. NCBI's taxonomy places the organism in Eukaryota, Metazoa, Arthropoda, Insecta, Diptera, Tephritidae. The record is from RefSeq and is a predicted model, not a curated record.